AUAAAAAUAGAAAAAGACCAUAAACCGGGUUGAUUCGGCGGUUCAACCGGUUGAACCGUGAACCGGUCAUCAUACCGGGUCAACCAAUUAAAUUAUUGGUUUUAUAUGUUUAUGCAUUAUGCAUGAAAGUAAAAAUAUAUAAAAAUAGAAAAAAAACCAUAAACCGGGUUAACUCGGCAGUUCAACCGGUUGAACCGUGCUCCGAUAAUCAUUCCGGAUCAACCAAAAACCCAUUUUUGAAAACUUUGACCACCUAUUACAUUCAUCCUUUUUGUUCAAUUACAUGCUCCAUUGGCCCCAAAAAUACAAAAGAUUUUUAAGAGUCAACAAGUCAACAUGAGAUGACAAAAACCAAAGGCGGAACCUACUGUUCCAUUGCUCUUUCGAGAUAUGACCUUUGCCGGAACCACGCAUUGACCAAAGCAACCUCAGUACCAUCGCCGCCACCAGGUUCGAUCGUCGGUUACCUAUGUUUGAUUAAUUGCUGCCUACAACCAAACUAGCCCCAACAGCCUUCAACCGAUGUUACAGCAUCACUGGUCAACUAUCUCCAUCAACAUGUCAACAAUCGAGGCUCCUUCACUACCAAUACCGGCGACCAAGCACAAGAGGCGAGCUCGCUGCUGCGACCUCCAAUAGACCAUCUAACAAACCAGUCACCAAUUAUCACUGUCAGACUAUACCUGUCGAAGACCUCCUUCAAGAGUGACUUGGCGGAGUAGCGAUGUCAGCGGAAUCGAUGCACCAACCGCCAUGCCAUCUCCUAUCAACCCAAUAAGCAUGUGCUGCCGGCGAUCCGUAUCCACUCCGAUCUCGUGCUGAAAAGGACGAAUUCCGACAAAGAAUCAGAAAAACCUCCAACGGUCACUAUCCGCCUCCUCUUCACCACAAAGUGCCCCAAUCUCCGCCAUCAUCGCCUAAUCAAACCAUUGUCGCCGGAGGAAUUCGCAGCUUCGAUCCCAUUCAUAGCCAACAAAACUCUGGUGAGGACCACUAGCAAACGACUGCGUUCAACAUCGCGCUCACUCGUUGCUUCCAAUAUUCAUCGCCGGUCGCCAGCAUCAACCUUCGGACCACCACCGUUCGUCCCUAACUCCGAAGAAGAAUUCCUGACUAUAAUUGUUGAUCCUCCAAAGUAGCGAAGCCGACAAAAUGAAGAUUUGGUUCGAGCCUUCACCUCCGUGUCCGUCAUGAAGCUCACAGUGGACCCAACUGCCUGAUUUGUUCCAUGUAGACGACAAAAAGAAAUUAGGGCACUAGCCCACAUCUCGUAUCUGGCCGAUUAAUGAAUAACUGGGCCGAUAACUUGGACACAUACACUCAUUUUGGGCUCCAUGACAAUUGAGUCCCAACAGAUUUAUUUUGGGCUUGCAUUUCAUUAUAUUGAGCUACUCAACAAACAAAAUGGAUCAAUUUUACAAGACAAAAAAAAACAACUACUCAGUACUCAUGUGCUGCUAGCUACGCCCAACGGAAUGCGUUGCGGCUCGAGCUUUGGCGACCUUUCCAAAAAAAAAGAGGGAGAAGAGUAGUACGCUAUUGCUACUCGUGAAGCGUUUAGAGAAAACAGUGACAGGCAAUAUGAAUUGAUUUAUUAUUUCAAGAAAAAAUAGUAACUAUUUGAUCGGGUUGUCUUUUCAGAUAAUCACUCCAGCACUGCGACACUCAGACUCAGCCAAAAACAAACUCGCGGAGCAAAGCUCGGUCAGUAAAGCAUUUACAGGGGACUUUCGAAAUGUGCACCGCGGACCAGUCACUCAAAGUUCCUAUCUAGUGGGCAUAGAAAUAUAACUCCCCACCUGGUGUUGGCUGCGGGUCUCGUCCUCCUCACCGAGGCUUUGAAGCUCGACAACAGUCUUAGAGACUCUAUGGAGAGGUUACGGUUCUUAGCUACCCCGACCCAACAUUUCAUCGACAUCAGUGUCACGUAACACUCUUUAGCAGCCUCGGUCUGUAUUAUCGCAGCAACAACUACGUUGCAUCUUAUCAACUGGAUCAUACUCCUAACAAGGAAAGGUCAUUAAGCCAACCCAUGCUUGGCUCAUGGCGCAACCCCACAACUCUCGUGGGAGAGGUACUUCCGAUACUAAGGGGAAGGGCCCAACAUGAUGGCACAACACACUCUCCUGUUAUUUCUAUAUUUUUGAUAUUGUACUCUGAUGACACAACAGUUUUACAUUGUGAUGGUUGUGGAUGACUUUUAUAGCUAUGGUACUUGUUUAUUUUACAAAAAUGAAAAUGAAAAAUUUUAUUCGGGUUUUUGGGUUGUUACCAAUUGGUAUUAGAGCCUUGGUUUGAGGGAUUUGGGCACACUCUGAGGUGUGUCAAAACUCAAACUGAGGAAAUGAUAAUCUUUUCAAAAAAAAGAAUUGAAUUUCUGAAAAAGGUUCUCUUAAGUAAAAAAAAAAAGGAGAGUGUAAUGCGUGCGAUCGGUCGAGCUCAAGUAAGUGUUUCCAAAAUUAUCCAUGCUUAUAAAUUAUGAUUAGUGUGCUUGAUAUGUGAAUUGCAUGCUAGAGUAAGGAUAAGGAUACCUUCAGGAACUAUGUAAUAGAAUUGCCUGACUUGUGCAAUGCCUUAUAGCCUAG
Long non-coding RNA from Lactuca sativa (garden lettuce), 2585 nucleotides. RefSeq lists it as uncharacterized. The record is from RefSeq and is a predicted model, not a curated record. NCBI's taxonomy places the organism in Eukaryota, Viridiplantae, Streptophyta, Magnoliopsida, Asterales, Asteraceae.